Molecule: ribosomal RNA, 184 nt
Filed under: uncultured soil bacterium
Lineage: Bacteria
Description: partial 16S ribosomal RNA
Rfam family: Bacterial small subunit ribosomal RNA
Source: RNAcentral
AGGAUGAACGCUGGCGGCGUGCUUAACACAUGCAAGCCGAACGAUGAGGGCUGGAGCUUGCUCUGGCUGGAUUAGUGGCGAACGGGUGAGUAACACGUGAGUAACCUGCCCCAGACUCUGGGAUAAGCGCUGGAAACGGCGUACUAAUACCGGAUACGAGCUUCAGCCGCAUGGCUAGGAGCUA